CGGGUGAAAAACCCGUUCGCCGAAAGACCAAGGGUUCCAGUCCAACGUUAAUCGGGGCUGGGUGAGUCGACCCCUAAGGCGAGGCCGAAAGGCGUAGUCGAUGGGAAAAUGGUUAAUAUUCCAUUACUUCUGUGUAAUGCGAUGAGAGGACGGAGAAGGCUAAAUCAGCCUGGCGUUGGUUGUCCAGGUGAAAGGAUGUAGGCAUGUAUCUUAGGCAAAUCCGGGGUACUCUAUGCUGAGAUCUGAUAGCAAGCUGUACUUGUACAGCGAAGUGGUUGAUGCCAUGCUUCCAGGAAAAGUCUCUAAGCUUCAGUUACACAGGAAUCGUACCCGAAACCGACACAGGUGGUCAGGUCGAGUAGACCAAGGCGCUUGAGAGAACUCUGCUGAAGGAACUAGGCAAAAUGGUACCGUAACUUCGGGAGAAGGUACGCUGUUGUUGGUGAUGGAACUCGCUUCCUGAGCUGACGACAGCCGCAGAAACCAGGCCGCUGCAACUGUUUAUUAAAAACAUAGCACUCUGCAAACACGAAAGUGGACGUAUAGGGUGUGAUGCCUGCCCGGUGCUGGAAGGUUAAUUGAUGGGGUUAGCGUAAGCGAAGCUCUUGAUCGAAGCCCCAGUAAACGGCGGCCGUAACUAUAACGGUCCUAAGGUAGCGAAAUUCCUUGUCGGGUAAGUUCCGACCUGCACGAAUGGCAUAAUGAUGGCGGCGCUGUCUCCAGCAGAGGCUCAGUGAAAUCGAAAUCGCUGUGAAGAUGCAGUGUACCCGCGGCUAGACGGAAAGACCCCGUGAACCUUUACUGCAGCUUGACACUGAACUUUGACCUUACUUGUGUAGGAUAGGUGGGAGGCUUUGAAGCUGGAACGCUAGUUCCAGUGGAGCCGUCCUUGAAAUACCACCCUGGUAAUGUUGAGGUUCUAACUCUGUCCCGUGAUCCGGGACGAGGACCGUGUCUGGUGGGUAGUUUGACUGGGGCGGUCUCCUCCUAAAGAGUAACGGAGGAGUACGAAGGUGCGCUCAGCGUGGUCGGAAAUCACGCGUAGAGUAUAAAGGCAAAAGCGCGCUUAACUGCGAGACCCACAAGUCGAGCAGGUACGAAAGUAGGUCUUAGUGAUCCGGUGGUUCUGUAUGGAAGGGCCAUCGCUCAACGGAUAAAAGGUACUCUGGGGAUAACAGGCUGAUACCGCCCAAGAGUUCAUAUCGACGGCGGUGUUUGGCACCUCGAUGUCGGCUCAUCUCAUCCUGGGGCUGAAGCAGGUCCCAAGGGUAUGGCUGUUCGCCAUUUAAAGAGGUACGCGAGCUGGGUUUAGAACGUCGUGAGACAGUUCGGUCCCUAUCUACCGUGGGCGCUGGAAAUUUGAGAGGAUCUGCUCCUAGUACGAGAGGACCAGAGUGGACGAACCUCUGGUGUACCGGUUGUGACGCCAGUCGCAUCGCCGGGUAGCUAUGUUCGGAAGGGAUAACCGCUGAAAGCAUCUAAGCGGGAAGCCUACCUCAAGAUAAGAUUUCCCUAGGACUUUAUGUCCUCUAAAGAGCCGUUCGAGACUAGGACGUUGAUAGGUUGGAUGUGGAAGCAUAGUGAUAUGUGAAGCUGACCAAUACUAAUUGCUCGUGAGGCUUGACUAU
This 1628-nucleotide ribosomal RNA is filed under the name Acinetobacter baumannii 400834. RNAcentral's name for it is "bacterial LSU rRNA". It matches the Rfam family "Bacterial large subunit ribosomal RNA", at positions 1318 to 2925 of the family's 2925-position model. The record is from RNAcentral. Lineage: Bacteria; Pseudomonadati; Pseudomonadota; Gammaproteobacteria; Moraxellales; Moraxellaceae.